CUUGAAUUUCUCUGUAUAGAGGUCUUUAUAUAUUUUUUGUUAAAUUAUUCCUAGGAAUUAGAUGUUUUUAGGUGUUAUUUUAAAAAAUUAAUCCUCUUUGUUGCUGAUAGUGCAGAGGUUUUAAAUCUGAGGUCUGUGGCCCUUUUCAAGCUAUAAACACUUUUUAUACUUUUUUCUGAAAGAUGUGUAACUUACAUUUGAAUCUGAUUUCCACUAAGGGCAAUAACAAAAAGAUUAAAGAGCACUUUAGUGCUUUAACUUAGAGUAGAUUGGACUAGGGAAGGGGAACAGAGAGGCAGAGAGACCUUUUAAAGUAUGUAAUAAUCUAGGCAAGAGACUGGGCUUGAGCUAGGACAGUAGGUAUGGAAAAGGAGGAAAGACAUUCAAGGAUAUUCUGGAGACAGAAUGAGUAAAAUGAAGAAAAAGGGCAAAAUAGAGCUGGCAUCAGUCAUGUUCAAGGCAAUUAGAGGGUUACCAAAGCAGUAGGUAGAUAAGGGAAAAUGAGUAUUUGGUGGGUGAAGAUAGUGGGAUAGUCUCUAACUAUAUUAAGGAGACUUUACAUUUAAAAUAUAUUUGCAUAAAUAAAGAUGGGCAAAGUGAUAGAAUGUAUGAGAUUUGGAAGGUGGAAAGCUGCACGAUGGUUAGAUGGGGAUUUAUUAUAUAUUAUUCUGUACUUUUUUCUAUAUUUAAAAGUAUCCAUAAGAAGAAGUUAAGAAAAGUUUAUCUGCGUAAAAAGUAGGCUGAACUGGAGUUCUCUGGACUAGCUGUACUCAAAUUCUUACGUGAGAGAAAUAUCAGGAUUUGGGUUUGGGUAGUUUUAUAACCACUCUCUAUUAGGGACACAGUUUUAUCAAAAUCUUACAGAUAAGGAGGCACAAAGCUAUAGAGGCUAGGUGCUGCGGGGUGGCUAAGAGUUGAAAAGAAAUUGAGCUAGGCAGAUGGAACAUGGUAUCUGUUGGCAACUGAACCAGGUGUAUGGACUUAGGGGAAUUUAGCAAGGGAAGAUUAUGUGGUUUGGCUCUGUACACACCCUAAUCUCAUGUCUAAUUGUAAUCCCCAAUUUUGGAGGUGGGGGCCUGGUGGGAGGUGUUUGGAUCUUGGGGGUGGAUUUCCGACUUUGGUGCUGUUCUUGUGUGAUAGAGUUCUCACAAGAUCUGGUUGCUUUAAAGUGUGCGGCACCUUCUCUGCCCCCUCUUCUUCCUGCUUCGGCCAUGUAAGAUGUACCUCCUUUCCCUGUGCCUUCUGCCAUGAUUUUAAAUUUCCUGAGGCCUUCCCAGAAGCAGAAACAACCAGAAGCAGAAUCCACUAUGCUUCUUGUACAGCCUGCAGAACUGGGAGCCAGUUAAACCUCUUUUCUGAUAAAUUACCCGGUCUCAGGAAUUUCUUUAUAGCAGUGCAAAAACGGACUGAUAUACUAGGAUAUACUUUCAGCUGGAGAAUAAUGGCAGGGAGUCUGGGGCAGAUAUUCUGGGGAGAUCAACAGGCAGAAAGCAUCAGUGAAUACUAGAAACAGGUGGCAAAGCAUUGCUUCAUGCUUGAACUCAAAAGUGGAACUGGGAAACCUAGCAAGGAACUAAAUAAUUGAUUCAUUCAAUUCAUUAGUUCAUUCAGCCUGUACUAAUUAGUGCCUCUUGCAAUAGUUCUACACUUUAUUCUGUAUAAGAAUUAUUUGGACUUUGGGAGGCCGAGGCGGGUGGAUCACGAGGUCAAGAGAUCAAGACCAUUCUGGUCAACAUGGUGAAACCCCGUCUCUACUAAAAAUACAAAAAAUUAGCUGGGCAUGGUGGCGUGUGCCUGUAAUCCCAGUUACUCGGGAGGCUGAGGUAGGAGAAUUGCCUGAACCCAGGAGGCGGAGGUUGCGGUGAGCCGAGAUCGCGCCAUUGCACUCCAGCCUGGGUAACAAGAGCGAAACUCCGUCUAAAAAAAAAAAAAAAGAAUCAUUUGAAAUGCAUGUUAAAAUGUAGUACAGAUUCUUAGUUAUUUUUCCCUCCUCUUCCUGUUUACUUGGUACACCUAAAAAAUUGGCAUGUUUAACAAGCAUAUCAGAUGUUUCUGAUGUUGGUAUUUCUCCGGAUAAUGCUUUGACGAAACAUCUAGUUCACUGCGUGCUGGCCAGUGUAUCAACACAGGGGAAGUGUGGGAAAUGUGGCUAGAACCAGAGUGAAAGGUGAGGCCUUGUACUUGGGGAAGGAGCUGCAUUAACUGGAAUCAAAAGUGCUGACAGGCCAGGCACGGUGGCUCACACCUGUAAUCCCAGCACUUUGGGAGGCUGAGGCGGGUGGAUCAUCUGAGGUCAGGAGUUCGAGACCAGCUUGGCCAACAUUGUGAAACCCCGUCUCUACUAAAAAUACAAAAUUUAGCUGUGCAUGAUGGCCCACGCCUGGUAAUCUCAGCUAUUUGGGAGGCUGAGGCCAGAAAAUUGCUUGAAACCAUGAGACAGAGGUUUCAGAGAGCUGAGAUUGUGCCACACUGCACUUCAGCCUGUGCAACAGAGCAAGACUCCAUCUCAACGACAAGUGGUGGCAGAAUGAGACAGAUAUGGCUGAGGCUUCGACUCUCGGAAUUUUAACUAGUUGGUAAUAAGUUGGUUUCAGAAAAUUUACUUCUGCAGGCUGUUUGCAGCUAGAGAAAUGGUGAACUAUGUGAGGAGGAAAAUAAGCAAGAUAUGACACUUAGAAGAGGUAUACCUAGUGAAGGACAGUAGCCACUCAGGUACUACAUUAAAAUCACAUCACAAUAAAACUGGUAGUACUUCCUAGUACUAUGAACAGUACUAUGAACUAUGUGUAUCAUCUUCAUUUAUUUUAAAGAAGCUGUGACUGGUCCCUCAUCUCAUAAUCAUCAUCAGCCACAGCAUCUUUACCUAGAUAGAGGUAGGAGAUGUAAUUCAGUACAAUUAAAUACGGUAAAUGUAAAGGUGCUUUAUAGGUCAUACAUGUAAGGUGGUGGUGCUUUUACAACAACAUUCUAACACAAACUAAUUCAUGUAGACUCCCAAAGUUUAUUGAAUAGGCAUUGAAUUCUCAUUUCAUUUCACUUUUUGUUGUUGUUGAGACCAAGUCUCCUUCUACUGCCCAGGCUGGAAUGUGGUGGUGCAAUCUCAGCUCACUGCAACCUCCACCUCCUGGGUUUAAGCAAUUCUCCUGCCUCAGCCUGCUAAGUAGCUAGGACUACAGGCGUGCACCACCAUGCCCAGCUAGUUUUUUUUUUUUUGGAUUUUUAGCAGAGACAUGGUUUCAUCAUAUUGGUCAGGCUGGUCUCGAACUCCUGACCUUGUGAUUCACCCGCCUUGGCCUCCCAAAGUAUUGGGAUUACAGGUGUGAGCCACCGUACCAGGCCUCAUUUUACUCUUUAUAUAUUCAUUUAUGCCUGCUAUGUGCAAAUUUUCUAUUCCAGUUUUUUUAAUGAAUGUACAGUAAAAUGGACUUUUCUUAGUGUAUACAGUUCUAGGAAUUCUAAUAUGUGUAGAUUCAUGUAAACCACAAUCAGGAUAAGAGCAAUUCUAUUACUCCACCACAAAAAACUCUUAUACUGUUUCUCCUCCUCUGACCCUCACUUCCUCACUUCAUGUUUUUGAGAAUGUCAAAUAAAUGGAACUGUGCAAUAUGAAACCUUUUGCUACUGACCUCUUCCAUUCAGCAUAUAACCUUUGAGCUAGAUUAAUCCAUUUUGUUGCAUGUCUAGGGAGUUCGUGUCUUACUAUUGUUGAGUAGUAUUUCAUUGUGUAAUAUACCAGACUUGGUUUAUUCACUGCUGAAGGACAUUUGGUUUGUUUCUGGUUUUGGUGAUUAUAACUAAAGCUACUAUAAGUAAACACUUGUGUAUAGAUUUUGUGUGAACAUUUUCAUUUCUUUAAGGUAAAUAUCCAUGAGGAGAAUUGCAUGAUAAAUGUACGUUUAACCUUAUUAGAAGUUGCUAAACUAUUUUCCAGAGGGAUUGUACCAGUUUGCAUUCCCACAAGCAAUGUGUGAAAGUUCUAGUUGAUCUGCAUCUGUGUCAGCAUUUGGGAUUGUCAGUAUUUUUAAUUUUAGCCAUUUUAAUAAGUGUAUAGUGAUACCCUACUGUGGUUUUAAUUUGCAUUUCCCUAAUGCAUUCCUUGGUUCUUUAUGCCUUUAUCAAUGGAGGAUCCAAAACAAAAGAUAAUACAUGGUCAUCAGAAAAAAUAUUUGUUGUGCCUGACUUUAACAUUCUGUGAAAGACUUCAUGAAUAUUUUUAGAAAGGAGUUGUACUAUUGAAUAUUCAUGGUUUUUCAAUGAAGUUUGGGUACUCUGAAACCUAUCUGCAGAGUUUUAAUUAAGCCAUAUGACAGUGUGAAUAAGAGAGUGACAUCAGAGCUUUUUUUUUUUUCUGGUGGCCUUUGAUAUUAUGUAGAACACUUGUGGCCUUUAAUAAACUGAGGAGAGGCUGGGCGUGGUGGCUCAUGCCUGUAAUUCCAGCAUUUUGGGAGGUCGAGGCAGGUGGAUCACCUGAGAUCAGGAGUUUGAGAACAGCCUGGCCAACAUGGAGAAACCCUCUACUAAAAAUACAAAAAUUAGCCGGCCUAGUGGCUGGCACCUGUAAUCCCAGCUACUCAGGAGGCCGAGGCAGGAGAAUCGCUUGACCCCGAUGGCAGAGGUUGCAGUGAGCCAGGAUUGUGCCACUGCACUCCAGCCUGGACAACAAAGUGAGACACCAUCUCACAAACAAACAAACAAACUGAGGAGAUAGGAUGACCAGAUUUUUUUAUAUGCAUAUAUAUAUUUAAGUAAAGGAGAAAUAAGUGAGAAACACUCAUGGACACUGUGAUCAAGAUCAUGAACAAGAUCAUGAUCUACAUUUACUAAUUUCAUUUUCCUGGUAGCAUAGAUCAAUGGUAUGAUUUUAGUAACUCUUAUUCAGGGAAAUAAUUUAGAUGAAGGCAAGAAAGGCUUUCUCUUGAGUAAUACAUUAAUUUGGUCCCAUCUAUCUCUUCUCCCUUUGUAAAUCAUCCAAGCAACAAUCUAUGUUAUAAGAAGCAAACUAAAUGAUUGCUAAUUAAAUGUUUAGUGUUUUUUUAAGUUGGUUAUUAGCUUGAGGUUAAAUUUGCUUAAUGAGUGAAUAUGGAAGAGUUAUGUUUUUCACAUUUGGAAUGCAUACUUGCUGAUCAUUGGUAUGUUACUCCCAUUUUAUGAAGCUGGAACGUAAUUUCCUUCUUUUUAAUGAUUGUGAGUUUUACAGUUAUUGAAUCUUUGUUUUGGUGGUGUUAGUCAUGUCAGUACUUUAUUUGCUACCAAGUUCUCAGUUAGGAAAUAGCCUCCCAGUUAUGAUUUUGUUUUUUUUUAAGACAGAGUCUCACUCUGUUGCCCAGGCUGGAGUGUGGUGGUAUGAUCUUGGCUCAACUGCAAUCUCUGCCUCCUGGGUUCAAGUGAUUCUCCUGCCUCAACGUCCUGAGUAACUGGGAUUACAGGUGUGUGCCACUAUGCCCGGCUAAUUUUUGUAUCUUUUGUAGAGACAGGGUUUCACCAUAUUGGCCAGGCUGGUCUCAAGCUCCUGACCUUGUGAUCCGCCCAUCUCGGCCUCCCAGAGUGCUGGGAUAAAAGGCGUGAGUCAGAGCCACUGCACCCGGCCAAUUUUUCUUUUUCUUUCUUUCUUUUUUUUUUUUGAAAAGGAGUCUUGCUUUGUCACCCAGGUGGAGUGCAGUGGCAUGAUCUCGGUGCACUGCAACCUCCACCUUCUAGGAUCAAGUGAUUCUCCUGCCUCAGCCUCCCAAGUAGCUGAGACUACAGGAAUGUACCACCAAGCUCGGCUAAUUUUUAUAUUUUUAGUAGAGACGGGGUUUCACCAUGUUGGCCAGGCUGGUCUCAAAUUCCCGACCUCAAGUGAUUCACCCACCUUCACCUCCCAAAGUGCUAGGAUUACAGGCAUGAGCCACCUCGCCCAGCCUCAAUUAUAACUUGUUUCCGUAGGAAAACAUUUGCUUUGAAGUAGUAGUCAGUAAUAUAUUGAAAUUACAAAUGGACUGUCAAGGAGUGAUUCAUGUUUAGUGUUCAGUGUAAUUUAGAAAAGGUGACUUAAGUAGAAGAACAUUGAUGUAUCUGUUCUUAAAUUGCACCUAAUUAUAAUGACAAACUUAUAAGAUCUCUUUCUUCCUCUCUUGGAAUGUUGACUAACUAUAAAUUUCACAUGCUUUGAAAACAAAUAAUUUAAAAAGUGGUCAAAUGAAUUAAUUGUAAAGAAUCCUGCUUUAUCAGAUUUUACCUGUAAUCAUAUACCGGCAUGUAUGACAUUUUGAAAAAUCAGAAAGGAUUGCUUCCACUUACAUCAGAGUUUGAAAGUAGAAAUUCUUUUUAUGUAUGUAUGUGCCACCUUUGAUUAUAUGGUGGUCUUCUGAAUGUGGUCCCCUUACCUGAUACAUACCCACCUCAUCAAUAAACUACAUAGAAUCCUUACGUUUAUAUGUGGUCGUGUUACAAAGGUUUUCUUAAUGUAUUUCACUAAUGUCUUGUGGGAAAAUAUAAUCUUUUGAAAGCAUUAAUGUUAAAAAGAAUUAGACAUGUGAUUUAUCUCAUUAGGACCUGUUCUCUUUCAGUUUGUCUUUAAAAUGUAGGUACAGUAUAUAAGAAUUCAUAGUAAAGGAUCAACUGAGACUUUGAUUUAAAUGUGUUAUAAAUUAUAGUACGGGAGCCUGCAUAAUAUACUACAUUUUUUUUUCCCUAAGAAGCUUCUGUAAAUGGUUCUGUUAAGUGUAGGAAUGUUCUGAUGAUUAUCUUUUUAAUUAAAAUGAGAAAUCUUUGUUUAAAGUGGUACUCGUUUUUUUACAGCCUGUUACAGUCUCUGUAACAAUCAUUUCUUAAGUCUGAACGUUUUAUUUCCAGGAAUCCAUUUAUAUAAAACUAUGUUUAGACUUAAUUAAGGAAUGAUUCUUACAAAGCUUGUAAAUAGCCAGGAAAAAAGGGACCGAAAAUAAAACUGACAUUCACAUUUAACAAAAUGAUUGUUACAAGGUAUGUAAUAAGCUAUAAAAAUACAAUAAAGGCCUUUUUAUAAGAGUUCAUAUUUUUUGAUCCUUGUUUUCAAAGGUAUUUAAGAAAAAUAUCAAAGCUCUGCAAAGUGACAUCUGUUUGCUGAAUGGACUAGUUACAACUUCUUUUGUUUAUAACUGACAAUACGGGAGUUCUACCUGUUUUGUUAGUAUGUCUUCUUUGAAAUACCUUGUAAUCAAUUUAUAUUGGUAGGUAAAUUUUCCAUUGUACUGUAGUGAAAACAAGACCUGGUUUUCUGGUUCUGCUUUCUAGAUGUCAUGAGAUGUUGGGCAUGUUGCUUAACCUCUUUGAGUCUCACUUUGCUCAUAUAGAAAGCAAAGAUAAUAAUACCUGCUUUUGUAUCUCAAAGAGCUGUUAUGAGGAGUAAAUGAAAUUAUUAUAAAAAGAACAAAUAAUUUUUAAAAUUAUAAAAGACUAUAAGCAUCCAGAUCAUAUGUCUCUUAAAGAUGAAUUAGAUUUAACAAGCUCUUUUAAUUAGCAGACUUCCUUCUCGUUUAUGCACUCUGUCAUGUACAUAUGUAUAAAGUGAUGCUUUUAGUUUUCCAUUUCCUUGUCCACUAAGUGAUUGAAACAAUAUUGGCAUAGUGAAAAUUACACAGGAAUUGGAGUCAGAAGACCUGGUUUCAAGUCCUAUCUUAAUUACAGUCAUGCAUGGCUUAAUAACACUGUGAUACAUUAUGAGAAAUAUAUUGUUAGGUGAUUAUGUUGCUGUGUGAACCUCAUAGAGUGUACUUAGACAAACCUAGAUGGUACACCUUACUAUACACCUUUGCCAUGUGAUAUAACCUGUUACUUGUAGGCUGCAAACCUGUACAGUUUGUUACUGUACACUGAAUCCUGUAAGCCAUUGUAACACAAUGGUAAGUGUUUGUAUCUAAACAUAUCCAGACAUACAAAGGGUACAAUAAAAAUACAGUGUUACAAUUUUAUGGGACCACUGUUGAGUAUCUGACCAUAUUUGACUGAAAUGUCAUUAGGGGGCUCAUGACUGUAUUUUUACUUAUUCUCUUACCUUAUUCUUGGAUGGUGAUAAUAAUAAAAAUAACAAUAAUAAUGCAGCCAACACUUUUAGCUCAGCAUAUAUCAUGCAGGAUUCUAGACACUACGUAUAUUAACUCACUUGAUCCUCUCAUCUUAUUGGGUAUGUUUUAUUAUUAUCCUGAUUUACCAAGGUGGAAACUAAGGCACAGAGAGGUUAACUUACUUUUUCAAGAUAAGUUUGUAAAUGGCACAGCUGGUAUUCCAGCCCAGACAUUCUAGCUCCAGAGUGAGUGUGCUUAAUCAUUGUGCUAUCUUAAAACUGUUCCUCAAUUUCUUCUCUGAAAUGAGACUGAUAGUCACUGUUCUAUCUACUGGGUUGAAGAUCCAGUAAGCAAAUACACAUAAAAGCACUUUGACAUUACAGUGUACCAUAAAUAUAAGUUAUAUGCCGACUUUAGAAUUAACAUGCACCUUAGAGUAGGUAUUUUAUAGUUUUUUUGGUGAGAGAUGUUAUCUUUUGACUUAUUUUUGAGAAAUACAAUUUUGAGGAGAGCUGUGGAUGGUGUCAUUCUUUUUUCAAAUCUUUCAGAAAAAUUAUGAGAAACACACGAUGAUAACUCUUAUACCCAUCACCUGAAUCAUCUAAAUGUUAACAUUUUGCCACAUUUGACUUCUCCUAAUAUAUAGCUUUAUUUUCUUUCUAAAUUAUUUGAGAGUUGCAGUCAUGAUAUUUCACCUUUACUUCUGCAUAUAUUUUCUAAGAACAAGAGCAUCCUCAUUCCUAACCUCAAUACAAGAUUCCACUCAGGAAAUUUAACACUGAUAACCAUUUAUUAUUUAAUACACAGUUCAUAUUCAAAACCUCUGGUUGUCCUAAGAAUGUCUUUUUUUUUUUUUUUUUGAGAUGGAGUCUUGCUCUGUCGUCCAGGCUGGAGUGCAGUGGCACAAUCUUGGCUCACUACAACCUCUACCUCCUGGGUUCAAGUGAUUCUCCUGCCUCAGCUUCCUGAAUAGCUGGGAUUACAGGUGCCUGCCACCACACCCAGCUAAUUUUAGUAUUUUUAGUAGAGACGGGGUUUCACUAUGCUGGUGAGUCUGGUCUCGAACUCCUGACCUCAGGCAAUCUGCCUGCCUUGGCCUCCCAAAGUGUUAGAAUUACAGGUGUGAGCACGUUUCUUUAAAAAAAAAAAAAAAAAAAUACAGGACCCAAUCACGUUAUAUAUAAUAUCUCUUUAGAUUCCUCUAAUUUACAGUAGUUCCCUAAUGGCUUUUAUUCAUGAAAUUGACGUUUUUGAAGAGUGUGAGGUAGUUUUACAGAAUGUCCCUCAUUUGGAUUUGUCUGCUUGUUUUUUCCAUGACUAGAUCAGGGUAGAACAUUUGGCAGGAGUAUAAUACAUGCUGUUUUUUUUUCUUAGUGUACUACAUCAGAAGGUAUAUAAUGUCAGUUUGUUCCAUUAUUAGAUUGUUUGAUUAGUAAGGUUGUAUUCACUAGAUUUGUCUGUUAUAAAGGUAUAUUCGUAAGUAUUCAGAGUAGCAAACUUGGAGACUGUGUAAAUAUCUUAUUUCACAAAAUUGUUUCACCUAAGUUUUACCAUCCAUUGGUGAUUCUUCUGUGGUAGUUGUAAAAUCAGCUUAUUUAUUUUUAGGUGGUUCUAAAUAAUUUUUUUCUUUCUCAAUUUUGAAAUGGUGACUGUUUACUAUUUUGGAAGGACAUUGCAUGGGCUUUGUCAUCUUUAUUUCAUUUUUGAACUUAGACGAAUUAAAGUGUACUUUUUACAUUGUAAAAAAGAUAAAGAUAACUUUUAUCUUUAGUUGAAAACACUAUCAAAGCUGCUUAGAGAAUUGGGUUACAUUUUUAGGGGCUUUUUAUAACAAAAAGUACAUCAGAAUUGCCUAGAGGGCUUGUUGGGCCUUCCCUGGAGUUUUUCUUUCUUUCUUUCUUUUCUUUUCUUUUCUUUUUUUUUUUUUUUGAGACAGGGUCUUGCUCUUUCUUCCAGGUUGGAGUGCAAUGGUGCUAUCACAGCUCACAGCAGCCUGGACCUCUCAGGCUCAAACCAUCCUCCCACCUUAGCCUCCGUAGUAGCUGGGACUACAGGUGUGCAUCACUACCACAACUGGCUGGUUUUUGUAUUUUUUGUAGAGAUGGGGUUUCACCCAGGCUAAGUUUUCUGUACUUUAGACCUGGGUUGGGGCAUGAGAAUUUGCAUUUUCAACUAGUUUCCAGGUGAUGCUGCUGGUUCUGGGAUUAUACUUUGAGAACUUCUGUGGCUUGUAUAAAGCUUCCUUUUUUGGGGUCAUUUUUCUUUCUAUAUUUUCUUUUUCUUUUUUUUGAGAUGGAGUUUCACUCUUGUUACCCAGGCUGGAGUGCAAUGGCACGAUCUCAGCUCACCACAACCUCUGCCUCUUGGGUUCAAGCAAUUCUCCUGCCUCAGCCUCCCGAGUAGCUGGGACUACAGGCGCGUGCAACCAUGCCCAGCUGAUUUUUGUAUUUUUAGUAGAGACGGGGUUUCACCUUUUUGACCAGGAUGGUCUUGAUCUCUUGACCUUGUGAUCCACCCGCCUCGGCCUCCCAAAGUCUAUAUUUUCUUUAUUUUUAUUUUUUGAGACAGACUGGAGUGUAGUCAUGUGAUCAUAGCUUAUUGCAACUUUGAAUGCUAGGCUCAGGGAACCCUCUUGCCUCAGCCUCCCAAAGUGCUGGGGUUACAGGCAUGAGCCACUGUGCUGACCUUGGGCCAUUUUUAUACUUGUUUGCUUUUUUGAAUAGAGAUGAGAAUAAUAUAGAUACAGUAUAAAUAAGUAAGUUGAAGUUUGUAUUAGUGGAUUUUGAUCAUUGUUGGGAAAAUUUUGGCAAUUGGCUAAAUUGCUUAAUAGGAUCUCAUUAACCCAGCUAAUUCAAAAUUAUCUGUGUUGUAAUAAAAAUGGUUAUAGGCUAUUUUAGGUAUCUGUUUAUUUUUUAGAGAUGGAGUCUUGGUGUGUUGCCCAGUCUAGACUCAAACUCUUGGGCGCAAAAGUGAUUCUUUUGCCUUAGCCUCCCGAGUAGCCGCCGGUACUACAGGCAUGUAUCACCAUGUCCUGUCUAGGCUAUUGUAAAACUUAUUGUAGCAUUUAUAUUUGUUGAAUUUUCUUUACUUCGCUCAAUGAAGUAACCAAAUUAGGUAUCCAUAAUGUUCAGUUUGUGCUUUUAGUAUUUAAGUAAUCUCUGGUAUGCUUUAGCAACUUGGUUUUGUUAAGUCUGUGCAAUUAGUAAAGCAAGUGGCAAAUUUGUUUCGUCAUAGAGAUUAUUUUCACUUUUACAGAAGUUGGCCAUCAGCUCUCCUUCCUUGAUUCCCCUAUUAGGAAUACUAUAAACAUCAGAGAGAAGAGGAUGACCUUAAUAUUUGCUUCCCAGGCUAAAUCACAGCCUUGAAGCAGCUAUUUGUUUCUGAAUAAAGAGUUUAAUUUCACACCCUGAUUAGUGCCAGUACAUGCAGGUAGAUAUUUAUAUUAUGUAGCCAAACUGAUCUGCCUUUGCAAAUUACUUGCCAGUCAGCAGAACUAUAAUUUCUUAUGAGUAGUUUAUGGUAAAUUAUAGUUCUAGUUAACAAGUUUUGUGUGUUUUUUUAAAGUAUGUAUUUAUGAGGUAGGAGUAGGAAUCAGUCACUAAAUUUUGGCCAGACUAGCAGUUGACUAAUAGCUUUUUUCAAAGGCUAAGGUUUGGACUAACAGCCCAACUAAUUAGCUGUAGGAAAGAGUGAGAUCUUAUUUUUCAGGUGAUUUGAAAAUAUACACGGGACCUACAAAGAGUGGGUUCUGAUGGAAAAGACCUAAGAAGAAAUUAAUUUUCUUAUUGAGAAGUAAAAUAUAUUGUAGUUAAAAUUUGAUACCUUAGAGAGGCUUAAAAAAUAGGAAGAUAACUGAGAACAAGACAUUGAAGGUUUUGAAAUCAUGGGGCACUGCUUAACUGAGUUUUUCAUUGCUUAUUUGAAGCCAUGGAGUUCUAAACUCUUUUAAGGUGAAACUGAGGCCAGGUUUGGUGGCUGUCACCUGUAAUCCCAGCACUUUGGGAGCCUGACGGGGGAGGAUUGCUUGAGGCCAGGAGUUUGAGACCAGCCUGGUCAAUAUAGCAAGACCCUCAUCUCUACAAACAGAACAAAACAAAACAAAAUUAGCCAGGCAUGGUGGUGCAGUGGGCUAUGAUUCUGCCACUGCACUCCAACCUGGAACACAGAGUGAGACCCUGUCUCUAAAAAAAGAGAAAAAAAAAGUGAAACUGACUUUAUCUGAACUUGGAUAUAGGAUAGAAUAGAUGAAUUAGAAGGAAGAAAAAUACUGUUUCCUUAAUAGGAAUAUCAUUUCCCUUCUUAUCUAAAAUGUCACUAAAUUUGCAUGGAGUCGUAGGAUUUAAGAGUUGAGAAGGAUCAUCUAAUUCAAGGUUUUCUUUUUUUUAAUGUAGUUUUUCUAUUUUCUUCUUUUUUGUGUGUGUGCACAUUAUACUUGAUAAUUCAAGGCUUUUUUGCCUUUUUUUUUUGAUUAUGGACUUCUUUCCAGACACACACACAAACACACACACGUUUUAUACAGAAUUUCAGGAGGUUCAGAGAUCCAUGAAUCCUAUCUAUUGACCCUAGGUUAAUGUUUUUGGUUCUUGUAUAGUAUUAUUUUUAUUUAAAAGGCUUUGCUGAUAAUAAUUAUUUUAAUAUAACUACUUGUGACUUUUAAUAAGGAUCUGACUAUAAAACCUGAGCUUCAUCAUAAAAUGUCAUUUUGAGCAAGAAGCAGCUUCUCCGCUCCUUCUGGAAUCUCUCCCUAGUUCAGCCCGCCUGCCUCCACUCCUGCCUCCACCAUGUCCACCAGGGUGACCCAUAAGUCCUAAAAGGUGUCCACCUCUGGCCCCGGGGCCUUCAGCAGCCGCUCCUUAACGAGUGGGCCCAGUGCCCGCUUGAGCUUCUCCCGAGUGAGCAGUAGUGGCUUCCGGGGUGGCCUGGGUGCAGGCUAUUUUGGGGCCAGCAGCAUAGGCAUGGGAGGCAUCACCGCCGUCACCAUCAACCAGAGCCUGCUGAACCCCAUUAUGGUAGAUGUGGACCCCAACAUCCAGGCCGUGCGUACCCAGGAGAAGGAGCAGAUCAAGACCCUCAACAACAAGUUUGCUUCCUUCAUCGACAAGGUGCGGUUCCUGGAGCAGCAGAACAAGAUGCUGGAGACCAAGUGGAGCCUCCUGCAGCAGCAGAAAACGGCUAGGAGCAACACGGACGACAUGUUUGAGAACUACAUCAACAACCUGAGGCGGCAGCUGGAGACUCUGGGCCAGGAGAAGCUGAAGCUGGAGGCGGAGCUUGGCAACAUGCAGGGGCUGGUGGAGGACUUCAAGAACAAGUAUGAGGAAGAGAUCAAUAAGCGUACAGAGAUGGAGAAUGAAUUUGUCCUCAUCAAGAAGGAUGUGGAUGAAGCUUACAUGAACAAGGUAGAGCUGGAGUCUCGCCUGGAAGGACUGACUGACGAGAUCAACUUCCUCAGGCAGCUGUAUGAAGAGGAGAUCCGGGAGCUGCAGUCCCGGAUCUCUGACACGUCUGUGGUGCUGUCCAUGGACAACAGCCGCUCUCUGGACAUGGAUGGCAUCAUUGCCGAGGUCAAGGCGCAGUACGAGGAGAUCGCCAACCACAGCCGGGCUGAGGCGGAGAGCAUAUACCAGAUCAAGUAUGAGGAGUUGCAGAUGCUGGCUGGGAAGCACGGGGAUGACCUGCGGCGUACGAAGACUGAGAUCUCCGAGAUGAACCGGAACAUCAGCCGGCUCCAGGCUGAGAUCGAGGGCCUCAAAGGCCAGAGGGCUUCCCUGGAGGCCGCCAUUAGAGAUGCUGAGGAUCGCGGGGAGCGGGCACUCAAGGACGCUCAUACCAAGCAGCAGGAGCUGGAGUCCGCCCUGCAGCGGGCCAAGCAGGACAUGGCAAAGCAGCUGCGUGAGUACCAGGAGCUGAUGAAUGUCAAACUGGCCCUGGACAUCGAGAUCGCCACCUACCGCAAGCUACUGGAGGGCGAGGAGAGCCGGCUGGAGUCCGGGAUGCAGAACAUGAGUAUCCACAUGAAGACCACCAGCGGCUAUGCAGGUGGUCUGAGCUCUGCCUAUGGGGGCCUCACAAGCCCCGGCCUCAGCUACGGCCUGGGCUCCAGCUUUGGCUCUGUCGCGGGCUCCAGCUCCAUCAGCCGCACCAGCUCCACCAAGGCUGUGGUUGUGAAGAAGAUUGAGACCCGCGAUGGGAGGCUGGUGUCUGAGUCCUCUGACAUCCUGCCCAAGUGAACAGCUGCAACAGCCCCUCCCAGCCUGCCCCUCCCAGCCUGCCCCUCCUGAGGCUGCCCCAGAGCCCAGGAGGGAGGUUGCUGUGCAGGGGAGCGCAGGGAACAGGAGACCCACCUGACGCUCAGCCCUAGCCCUCAGCCCACCGGCGGGGAGUUUACUGCCUGGGGACCCCCCUUGCCCAUGCUCCAGCUGCAAAACAAUUCAAUUGCUUUUUUUUUUUUUUGGUCCAAAAUAAAAUCUCAGCUAGCUCGGAAAAAAAAAAAAAAAAUGUCAUUUUGAGAAGCUAAUGAAAUGUUGAGUACGUUGCCUGGUAGUGUCAGGAAAAAUGGUACAGAGAUGACUUGGCUGGUAUUUAUCAAAAAUCCUCCCAGAACAUCCUGUACUUAUUCCCCUAGCUAUUCAAGCAAGCAACCACAAUGAAUCCCUGUCUAUGAUGAUGUAAUUUUACUUGUCAGGUUAUGUGAACAGAUACACAUAAAUUCUUUGAUUAUUAUCUUACUGAUACUUCCAGGACCUUUCUAUUUUUAUCAGUUUUAUUAAAGAUGUAGUAUGACCAAACAAAUGCCCAGCAAGGUCAGUUUACUCUGUGAGUACACCCUGCAUCUAGCGUCAUGUGGAAUAAACCCUGUUCUAUCAAGGUCAGCCUUAAACAUUGUCAGCAUGUUCACUUAUUUAUGCUCUGCAGUUCUGGGGAGGCCUGGGAAACAUUUAUCUUCUCUUUUUCUUCAUCUUCUUGAGGUGUCAACACUGAGAAUGCUGUCUAUCUAAUUAGCUCAUUCAAGAAAGACUUUUUGGUGAGAAUUUUACAUCAGCAGUACACUUUGGCCAGAAGACCUGGUUUGGAAUUAUCUUAUGUAUUCCACAUGCCACUUAGAAAAACACUUUUUAUGAGGUAUCAAUAAAAAGUAGUGUGGAAUACUUAUUCCUUUUGAAAAUGAGUACAUGAAGACCCAAAGACUUAUGUGACUUGCCCUUGUCACAAGUGGUGACAGCCUGGAUUAGAGCCCACAUUUCCUAAGUCCAAGUCUAGUUGGUGCUCUUCUGACUCUUUAUUUUGUUUGUGGUUUAGCUUGUGUUUCUUCUACUGGAUAUGGUUGAUAAGUGAAUUGGUGGGGGGUGUUUUUAAUGAGCACUUUUGUGAUUUGUUUGAGAAAGGCUUCCCUGCUCUAAGAUCAUGAAAAUAGCCUUAUAUUUUCUACUAUAGACUUUGAGUUUUGCUUUUUACAUUUAGAAUUUUUUUGUGUGUUUGUUGUGAGGAAGGGAUUCCACUUCACUUUUUUCCAUAUGGAUUUAUAAUGGCCCACAGCAUCAUUUAUUGGAAGGGUAUGCAUUCUUCACCAAUCUGCAGUGUUAUCUUCAUCAUAAAUCAUGUCAUUACAUGUGUUGAUCUGUUUUUGAAUUUAUUAUCCUGUUCUAUUGUUCAUUUAUACCUAUAUCAGUACCAUACUAUCU
Non-coding RNA from Callithrix jacchus (white-tufted-ear marmoset), 15706 nucleotides. The record is from RefSeq and is a predicted model, not a curated record. Lineage: Eukaryota; Metazoa; Chordata; Mammalia; Primates; Cebidae.